UGGGGAAUAUUGGACAAUGGGCGCAAGCCUGAUCCAGCCAUGCCGCGUGUGUGAAGAAGGCCUUCGGGUUGUAAAGCACUUUCAGCGGGGAGGAAGGGGUUGUUGUUAAUAGCAACAAUCUUUGACGUUACCCGCAGAAGAAGCACCGGCUAACUCCGUGCCAGCAGCCGCGGUAAUACGGAGGGUGCAAGCGUUAAUCGGAAUUACUGGGCGUAAAGCGCACGUAGGCGGUAUGUUAAGUUGGAUGUGAAAGCCCCGGGCUCAACCUGGGAAUUGCAUUCAAAACUGGCAUGCUAGAGUAUGUGAGAGGGGGGUAGAAUUCCAAGUGUAGCGGUGAAAUGCGUAGAGAUUUGGAGGAAUACCAGUGGCGAAGGCGGCCCCCUGGCACAAUACUGACGCUCAGGUGCGAAAGCGUGGGGAGCGAACAGGAUUAGAUACCC
RNAcentral lists this ribosomal RNA (440 nucleotides) under uncultured bacterium. RNAcentral's name for it is "bacterial SSU rRNA". It matches the Rfam family "Bacterial small subunit ribosomal RNA", at positions 355 to 787 of the family's 1533-position model. The record is from RNAcentral.